GUCGAUAACAGAAAACUAAAACCUGAAUUUGACCAUUAGCUCGCAGAGGGCCAAACUCGCAGAACAGAAAUUUAAAUCUGACCAUUGCCACGCAGAGCGUCGAUAACAGAAAACUACAAUCUGGAUUUUCAGCUUUGAAAAGUUGAUAAAUGCNGAGUAAAACAUGAAGAUUUUGCAAACAAUUUUCCUCGCUUUCUCAGAGAUGAUGUUAUGCCACGAUGGUGCAUGAAUGCAUAGACACAUGAGGCUUUCACUUCGUUCUUUUCUUUUACUCUCGCUUUUUCAUUUUCUUCUUUUUUUUCUUUUUUCUUUUCUUUUCUUUUUUUUUUCUUUUUUUCUUCUUUUUCUUUUCUCCUUUUUUUUUUUGAAAAUUCCAUGUUUGGAAUCCAUUGUUAAUAUUGUCAUCAGACACGAUGUACAUUCAAAACGCAUUCCUUGAAAACAACGUUGAGACGUAUAGAACCCUUUGNUGAGCAGGAAGAAAGUGUAACCCUGAGUUAAAAUUCUUUUUAUUGCUUUUUGCAAUCCAAAUUAACUUGAACCCUGGAGGGUAUGGGAAAAUGGUUAUGAAAAACAGAUGAAUAAUGAUUAUCCGUGAGCAAAUAUUAAUGUAUGUGUGUCCCUCAACUAGGAGACANUGCUAUUAACACGUUGGGCUCNAAUACCGCCCCAAUUUUGCACAGCAAGUAUCCUUUGGAAAAGUGAAAAGGUUUGGGUAGGAAGGAAUGCCCCAAAUUGGAUGAUCUUCGAUUGAUANGGGGACUUCACAUCUUUUUAUCUUCUUCUUCUUCUUCUUUUUUUCUUUUUUUUUAUAUGAAACUGAAUGUGACGUUCACCACAUCAUGCUAUUUCAAAGUUAAAAUCGUGAGAAAGAUUAUGACAAGCAGUCUUCAGUCAGCG
RNAcentral lists this long non-coding RNA (900 nucleotides) under Vigna radiata. RNAcentral's name for it is "long non-coding RNA (VRAD_LNC000950)". The record is from RNAcentral. Lineage: Eukaryota; Viridiplantae; Streptophyta; Magnoliopsida; Fabales; Fabaceae.